Molecule: long non-coding RNA, 2445 nt
Organism: Panicum virgatum (switchgrass)
Lineage: Eukaryota; Viridiplantae; Streptophyta; Magnoliopsida; Poales; Poaceae
Exons: 2
Source: RefSeq, a predicted model, not a curated record
CAGCGCCUCCCACCAGGCCACCAUGCGCCGCCGCGCCUCCCGCUGGGCCGCCACGCCACGCUGUGCCGAGCUACCUGCUAGGCCGCGGAGGAGGAUAACGGAAGAGGAACCGCCACAUCGAGUUGCCCGCUGGCUAGCCGCGCCGAGCCGUCAAGCCUCCCUCGGCGGCCUGGCCCGGCGGCGGCCGGCCGGGCCCCACGCUGCGCCGUGCCGAGCUGCCUGCCGGGCUGCGGAGGAGGAGAAUGGAAGACGAGGAGGCGCCGCGGAGAAACCGUCGCGUCGAGCCACCUGCUAGGCAGCCGCGCCGAGCCGCCAUAUCUCCCUCGGCGGCGCGGCCCGGUGGCGCGGCCGUGGUCUUGCGCCGGCGGCGGCUGCCGCGCCUGGGCCGCGGCUCGCGCUCCAUCCCUCGGGCAGCUUCUAGAAACGUAGUCUCCCUCGACCGGUCGACCCAUCACCGCUUCCCCGCCUUGCAGCCACACCCCUCCACGUGAUGGCCUGAUGGGCUCACCGGCGGCGCUCGUCCAAGCGGCAGCUGUGACUUGGGUCCCUAGCACUGGUGCUCCUCCCGUCAUCCACCGUGCGCUCCGAGUAUGGGCGCCGCGCGCUCCGCGCAGACAUUCCUGCUUCGCAAACUGCAGCCAGCCACCUGCAAGCAAGUACCAAAGCAAAGGGAUCCCCGAGCAAGAAGGUGACCGGCUCUGGUGCUGUGCAGCUCCCCCGCGCCCUUGUGCAAUGUCCCAUGCAGCAGAGUCCGUCGGUUACUGCCCCAGGAGUUCCAGUGGCCAUUGACAUGACUAAUGUCCAGCAGCUGCUCGAGGAAAUGCCUCUAUGGUCAGUACAUUUCCAAAUUUCUUGGGGAUUGGUAUACUUGUGGAAUCGAUUUGUGUCACUUGAUGGAUGAAAUUAAGCAUCAGUAAUGCUCAACAACAUAGCGGGCACCUCAUGGCACUUCCUAACUGCAAUGGCUCUCAUUUUUUUUUCCUAAAGUACAUGCAUCUCGAUAGACAAUCUGUAGAUGAUCAGCCAAAUUAAUAAAAGUUGCCAAACUGUGAUGAUUGUUGGCCUUUCUCUCCAUUCAUUCCUCUCAUCCUUCCUCAAACCCACCCUGGAUAUGCUUUUCCUGUGUUACAGUUUAAGUAGAAGAGAAAGAAUCUCCUUACAUGCUCUUCUUCAUUUGCUUCCAUGCCCCUUGAUUACAAGUUGAAAAUUAAAAUGUCAAUGUAGCAUAUACAUUUUUUAUUAAGACUGAGUCCUGAGUGGAAAACACAAUCCCUAAACUUAAUUGUGCAGGAACAAUGCAUAUUGUGCCAGAGCACUCAUUGAGGUUGCUCCUUAUGCUAAAAUAACUGAAAAUUGAUAAACAAAUUAUCUAAUUGUUUUGUCAGCAAUUACUUUACUUUUCAUCCAUUUCUUCAAUUUCCAGCACGCAAUCUUCUUGAUCUUGAGUAUAUUGUCUCUGGCCCCAACUUUGGCCUGCUCCUCAGUAGCCAGUUUAUUCAACAAAGCAAAAUAGUCGACGGAUUGUCCAACUAGCAUACGGGAUGGAUCUAAGGCCCACCUAUCAAUGAUAUAAGAUGGACAAACCUAAAGCUUACUUGCUUUAGCAAUAGGUAUAGAUUACUUACUUCUUCCAAUCUAUCUGCUAUCACGGGCAUGUUUAAUUUCUGGCUAACAUCUCUGCUAAUUUCUUUUCAGGUAGAAAAUAAAACAUGUACUUUAAGUUGUAUAGUAAGCUGUUCAGAGCAUCUUUAUUAAAAGUUUCUAUAUAUGGAUCAAUAUGUUUUCCAAUUCGCUUGACCACCAUGUGCUGUUGCAAUGUUUCAGAGGUACAAAUUUAUUUUCAAAUUCUGAAGCUUUUCGUUUCUGCAGAAUGGCUUCACCACUGGGAGCUCCGAUCCUGACGAUUCCGGCCACAAGAGGAUGGGGUUCAAGCAUUGAACUACAGUACAAACAAAUUAUUACUUAUUCAAAUAAUAAUUUAAACUAAAUUAUCCAAGAAAGAAUUUAUAUUGCUGCUAUCUACAGCUUCCUCUGUAGCCAGUUUAUUCAACAAAGCAAAACAGUCAAUGCAGGUCACUAAUAUUUAAUUUGGUUCAAGUAUCACUAUAUUCAGAGUUAUGUAUAUUUCUGUAAUUUGAGCGCUGGCCUUCCAUCUCCGCCUGGCUCUCCUUUUUUUAAUCUCUACUUAUAUUCACUAAUGUUGCAAUUCACUUGCGGAGCUGUCGCUAUUUCUCAAUGCACGGUGUCACAGACGGCAGAUCACAGAGCACAGAUGGCAAAGACAGGACCUCUUAAGCCCCAACACAAUCUAUAUGUAAGCACGAAGAAUGUGCUGCAUCUAUACUACGAUAUCUAAUAAUUUAUGUAAUCUUUGAGUCUAAGAGUUCAUAUAAAUCAGUAUGAAUUAUAUAGCUUUGUUCAUGAAAAGUCAUUCAUAUUCACACA